Micropterus dolomieu (smallmouth bass) is the source of this 1824-nucleotide long non-coding RNA. RefSeq lists it as uncharacterized. Lineage: Eukaryota; Metazoa; Chordata; Actinopteri; Centrarchiformes; Centrarchidae. The record is from RefSeq and is a predicted model, not a curated record. The transcript has 3 exons.
AACCCACGACCUUCUUGCUGCACCACCGCGCCGCCAGGAGCUUCAGUGUGGUACAUGCCUUAUUUUCACACUGACAUGGACAAGAUCAGGUUGGACAUGGACCUGGGACUCCACUGGGACAAGGUGCACCCAAAAGUCAGCAGCUGAAAACACAGACUUUCACAAGCAAGUCCGGCUUUGACAGGACUCAGACCUCAACAAAUGUUGCCCCACGUAGCACUGCAGCCAUGUGCUGAAGCUGUGUCAACUGUGAUGGAUUUGGCUCGCCUCUGCGGAUGAUGACGUGAUAUAUUAGCCUACAUAAGAAGAAAGAACAACAAUAGGACCAAUGAUUCUGGAGACAAAUGAACAAAAUAACUGUCUAUUUCAAGCCUGACCAUUGUGUUAUCACAGGUGAGAUGAUACGAGACAAUGGACUGUGAUCUAAUGAUAGUGUAAGUGUAAAAAUUACAAGUUGACAGAUGUUAUGUGCAGGACUAUUUCUUGACCAGGCACAGAAACUUCCUGGAGACUUGAUGUUACCGUGAGGCUGCCAGGAAUGCCAGAGUGUUAGUUAUUGAAAUUAAGAAUUAGUUGGAAUAAUUCUUUUAAGCAAUAGAAGUAUCUUGGCUGACAAAUAAAAAGAGCACUACCUGCAGAAACCCAAAUCCUUUAGUAAUGCAACAUUUGUCACACUGUUCUCCGAGAAGUGAAGUGCAGAUUAGAAACACCAACGCAGGGAGAUAUCACUAAAGUCAGAAAGCAAGGAACUUAAAGGUUGCACUUUUAAUUUACAGAGAGAAACGUGACAGAAAGUAACUAAAGAACUUCAAGUGGUAGAUAAAACUUUGAGUUACUGAGGUAAACCACCUGCAGCAAAUGUUGCAAUAGCACAAAUACUCCCUAAUGACAACACCUACAGUAUUAGCCCAGUUCUUCUUUUGAAAUUGGGAGGGAAUUUUACUUUUACUUUCUAAAAAACACCUGUCCCGUAAAUGACCUACAUAAGUCAUGCCAGUGGUACUUUCUGUAAGAGUAAGGGUUUAUACUGACUUAGUGGGAGGGUGUAUUUUGAUAAAUGAGAAGCUGUGUAUAAUAACACUCAACUACAUCCUACUCAGUCAAAGGAGGAUUGCGUAGCACCGUGACCCAGCCAGGCGGAGAGGGCUGACACUUUGUGUGUGUUCAGUGAUCAGUUUAAUGGGGUAGAAACGGUGGCUAUGCCUGGAAUUCCUCUCAAUACAGCCAUGACCUCCUCGGACGGGAGGAAUUACAAGAUUGUUGGAGAAGACGGACCUUUUUUGACACACUGGGCAGAUCCUGCGGUCAGACCUGCAGAUCAGCAACAUCACAAGCCCACAAAGUAAAAUACUCUGUGACUUUUAGAUGCUGCCCUCAACAAAUUUUCUGCACAUGCAGGCUUACAAAGUUUACAAAGACUCCCUGACUGACUCUAGUCCGACUGCCCCACAAAACAAAUACUGUAGAUUAGGGGGGAAGGAAAACACUUGCAUUUAGUUCUUUGCAUCAGGAUGUCCAUAAUUUAGUCCUCUUUGCCAGGAAUGGUUAAAUACUUGACCCGAGAGCACAACAGUACUUCAUAAACAAAUAUACUGCAUGAUUGCAUUGAAUUUCCAGCAUGCAUUGUCACAGUAGGAAUCAGGAAUACGCCUGGCAUUAAUCUACCACUUUAGCUAAAUGGGACCACAUGCAGACAAAAGUCAGAUAUGAUAUAUGAAAAAGUGUGCGCUCCCUUCGCACAGCUGACUUUUAAUUUACAGCCUACCAUCAUGAAGUAGGGGACUGAAUGGGGAAACUGUGUAAAUCUCCUCUGUGAAACUGUGA